AGUGAACGCUGGCGGCGUGCUUAACACAUGCAAGUCGAACGCGAAAGGGGGAGCAAUCCCCCAGUAGAGUGGCGAACGGGUGAGUAAUGUGUGGGUAAUUUGCCUUUCAGCGGGGGAUAACCCGGGGAAACCUGAGCUAAUACCCCAUAACAUGGCUUGAUCUUCGGAUCGAGUCAUCAAACGAUGGCCUCUGCUUGCAAGCUAUUGCUGGAAGAUGAGCCCACAUCCUAUCACGCUUGUUGGUGGGGUAAUGGCCUACCAAGGCGACGACGGGUAGCCGGCCUGAGAGGGUGUCCGGCCACACUGGAA
Molecule: ribosomal RNA, 309 nt
Filed under: uncultured bacterium
Lineage: Bacteria
Description: bacterial SSU rRNA
Rfam family: Bacterial small subunit ribosomal RNA
Source: RNAcentral